ACGAACGCUGGCGGCGUGCCUAAUACAUGCAAGUAGAACGCUGAAGGAGGAGCUUGCUUCUCUGGAUGAGUUGCGAACGGGUGAGUAACGCGUAGGUAACCUGCCUGGUAGCGGGGGAUAACUAUUGGAAACGAUAGCUAAUACCGCAUAAGAGUAGAUGUCGCAUGACAUUUGCUUAAAAGGUGCAAUUGCAUCACUACCAGAUGGACCUGCGUUGUAUUAGCUAGUUGGUGAGGUAACGACUCACCAAGGCAACGAUACAUAGCCGACCUGAGAGGGUGAUCGGCCACACUGGGACUGAGACACGGCCCAGACUCCUACGGGAGGCAGCAGUAGGGAAUCUUCGGCAAUGGACGGAAGUCUGACCGAGCAACGCCGCGUGAGUGAAGAAGGUUUUCGGAUCGUAAAGCUCUGUUGUAAGAGAAGAACGAGUGUGAGAGUGGAAAGUUCACACUGUGACGGUAUCUUACCAGAAAGGGACGGCUAACUACGUG
This 494-nucleotide ribosomal RNA is filed under the name uncultured bacterium. RNAcentral describes it as "partial 16S ribosomal RNA". It matches the Rfam family "Bacterial small subunit ribosomal RNA", at positions 29 to 507 of the family's 1533-position model. The record is from RNAcentral.